GCCCAGGCGUGGUGGCGCGUGCCUGUAGUCCCAGCUACUUGGGAGGCUAAGGUGGGAGGAUCGCUUGAGCCCAGGAGUUCUGGGCUACAGUGCGCUAUGCUGAUCGGGUGUCUGCACUAAGUUCGGCAUCAAUAUGGCGACCUCCCGGGAGCAGGGGACCACCAGGUUGACUAAGGAGGGGUGAACCGGCCCAGGUCGGAAACGGAGCAGGUCAAAACUCCCGUGCUGAUCAGUAGUGGGAUCGCGCCUGAGAAUAGCCACUGCAGUCCAGCCUGGGCAACAUAGCAAGACCCCGUCUCU
RNAcentral lists this signal recognition particle RNA (300 nucleotides) under Cebus imitator (Panamanian white-faced capuchin). Its description in RNAcentral is "Metazoan signal recognition particle RNA (ENSCCAG00000009005.1)". It matches the Rfam family "Metazoan signal recognition particle RNA". Rfam says of the family: The signal recognition particle (SRP) is a universally conserved ribonucleoprotein. It is involved in the co-translational targeting of proteins to membranes. The record is from RNAcentral. Lineage: Eukaryota; Metazoa; Chordata; Mammalia; Primates; Cebidae.